This 403-nucleotide ribosomal RNA is filed under the name Verrucomicrobiota bacterium. RNAcentral's name for it is "Verrucomicrobia bacterium partial 16S ribosomal RNA". It matches the Rfam family "Bacterial small subunit ribosomal RNA", at positions 355 to 776 of the family's 1533-position model. Lineage: Bacteria; Pseudomonadati; Verrucomicrobiota. The record is from RNAcentral.
UGGGGAAUUUUGCACAAUGGGGGAAACCCUGAUGCAGCGACGCCGCGUGAUUUAGAAGGCCUUCGGGUUGUAAAAAUCUUUUCUAUGGGAAGAAAAUGACAGUACCAUAGGAAUAAGGACCGGCUAAUUACGUGCCAGCAGCCGCGGUAAUACGUAGGUGGCAAGCGUUGUCCGGAAUUAUUGGGCGUAAAGCGCGCGCAGGUGGUUUAGAAAGUCUGAUGUGAAAGCCCACGGCUCAACCGUGGAGGGUCAUUGGAAACUAAUAAACUUGAGUGCAGGAGAGAAAAGUGGAAUUCCUAGUGUAGCGGUGAAAUGCGUAGAGAUUAGGAGGAACACCGGUGGCGAACGCGGCUUUUUGGCCUGCAACUGACACUGAGGCGCGAAAGCGUGGGGAGCAAACAGG